GAUUUGGAGAGUGGAGUCACUGAUAUACUGAGGACACUCAGCUAUGAUUCUCUGUUUCAUCUAAGUCAGAUGAGGCUGUACAAAUACUGAACCAACAUCUGCAUUCAGGAGUAGAUGGAUGAAGGCCAAUACAUUGAAACUGCAUGCUUGGGCCUGGGACAACUUCUCUCCAGUCUCACUGAGGAAAAUGACCCUCAUGCCAUCGGGAUUGGGCCUAGCGAAGUCCCCAAAGCCUCAUCGGGAGUGAGAAUACCCAGCUGGGUUUUGAACUUAUUGCAUCAGAGUCCAGUAGGUCAGCGCAUUAAUCAGGAACUCUGAAAUCCAGUGAGAUACUUUGUUGGGAACAGUUACAGUGUUCUGGCUAAUCUUAACUAUAAUUUUAAAGACAUUAGCUAUUUUAAAAAGCUAUUUCCCAUUCCUCCAAGCUUUAUGUCUGCUUAAAAGUUAUUUUCCAUGUUCCUUCAUAGAUGACUUAGAAUCAACAUGUAUGAAUUUACAUCUUUGGCCUACUUAGCAUAAGAGAAUUAUUUGACUUGUUGUGUUCUUUAUUAUCAUCAUUACUAUUAUUCUAUUUUACAUAUUUAAUGUUAUGUACUAAACAUCUUCCCCUGCAAGCAGUGAUAUGCCCCCCUUACAGUUUUCUUUUAUAACACAUUCAGCAUUUUUCUGAGACAUAAUUAAAACAUCAAACAGUUUUCCUGCUGGUUAUGCUAAAAUCUGCAAACUAGAGUCUGCUGGUUUUAUUGAAAAUUAAAAUAUACUGUUCUUAUGCAUAUUUAGAAUGACCUUAAAAAGUAUUUUUUUUAAAAAAUGAUUUUGUAGACCAUCGUAUAAUACUGCUGUACAAUGUUAAAGUACCUGAAUUAAAGAAUGCCUCUAAUUGGUAGCAGGAGAGUUCUUGUUAAAAUAUAAAAUAUGUAUUUUGUUCACUAUUUUCUCAGGCUUAAUGUGCCUAAUUUUCCCAUGCAACUUUAUCCCUAAGGAAAAAUAAAGAAGGAA
Molecule: long non-coding RNA, 999 nt
Filed under: Pogona vitticeps (central bearded dragon)
Lineage: Eukaryota; Metazoa; Chordata; Lepidosauria; Squamata; Agamidae
Description: lncRNA (ENSPVIG00000010107.1)
Source: RNAcentral